CGAGGAGCCGGUCGGGGAAGGAGACGCGGCUGUGAGGUGGAGGCGCCAUGAGCGGGGUUGCGCUGGGCAUGGCGGGAGCGCAGAGGAGGUGCCUACCCCUCAGCAGGGGCGAGUCUCGGGACAGGAGUAGGAUCUGGUGCUGCGAGCUCCUCUUGCACGUGAAACCCAAGGAGCGGCUCGUGGGAACCUCUCAUCCGUAGCCGUUCGCUCCACGCCCAGUAUGGGCCUUGAACUCCCCACCUGAGGUCAAGAGCCACAGGCUGCACCCACUGAGCUCACCAGGCGCCCCGGCCGCGCACACUUUGCAUGGGCAGUUGGAGGGAAUGUGAAGAGGAUCUCAGCAAAACCGCGACCAGAACAUUUUUUUCCCUGGGAUUGAACAGAAACGACC
Molecule: long non-coding RNA, 391 nt
Organism: Ailuropoda melanoleuca (giant panda)
Lineage: Eukaryota; Metazoa; Chordata; Mammalia; Carnivora; Ursidae
Exons: 3
Source: RefSeq, a predicted model, not a curated record